UAGAGUUUGAUCCUGGCUCAGGAUGAACGCUAGCUACAGGCUUAACACAUGCAAGUCGAGGGGAAACGGCAUUGAGUGCUUGCACUCUUUGGACGUCGACCGGCGCACGGGUGAGUAACGCGUAUCCAACCUUCCCAUUACUGUGGGGAUAACCUGCCGAAAGGCAGACUAAUACCGCAUAGUCUUCGAUGACGGCAUCAGAUUUGAAGUAAAGAUUUAUCGGUAAUGGAUGGGGAUGCGUCUGAUUAGCUUGUUGGCGGGGUAACGGCCCACCAAGGCAACGAUCAGUAGGGGUUCUGAGAGGAAGGUCCCCCACAUUGGAACUGAGACACGGUCCAAACUCCUACGGGAGGCAGCAGUGAGGAAUAUUGGUCAAUGGACGGAAGUCUGAACCAGCCAAGUAGCGUGCAGGAUGACGGCCCUAUGGGUUGUAAACUGCUUUUGUAUGGGGAUAAAGUUAGGGACGUGUCCCUAUUUGCAGGUACCAUACGAAUAAGGACCGGCUAAUUCCGUGCCAGCAGCCGCGGUAAUACGGAAGGUCCAGGCGUUAUCCGGAUUUAUUGGGUUUAAAGGGAGCGUAGGCUGGAGAUUAAGUGUGUUGUGAAAUGUAGACGCUCAACGUCUGAAUUGCAGCGCAUACUGGUUUCCUUGAGUACGCACAACGUUGGCGGAAUUCGUCGUGUAGCGGUGAAAUGCUUAGAUAUGACGAAGAACUCCGAUUGCGAAGGCAGCUGACGGGAGCGCAACUGACGCUUAAGCUCGAAGGUGCGGGUAUCAAACAGGAUUAGAUACCCUGGUAGUCCGCACAGUA
This 811-nucleotide ribosomal RNA is filed under the name uncultured bacterium. RNAcentral describes it as "bacterial SSU rRNA". It matches the Rfam family "Bacterial small subunit ribosomal RNA", at positions 1 to 804 of the family's 1533-position model. The record is from RNAcentral.